The sequence is a non-coding RNA, 360 nucleotides long. It matches the Rfam family "RNase MRP". From Rfam's summary of the family: RNase MRP is an enzymatically active ribonucleoprotein with two distinct roles in eukaryotes. In mitochondria it plays a direct role in the initiation of mitochondrial DNA replication. In the nucleus it is involved in precursor rRNA processing, where it cleaves the internal transcribed spacer 1 between 18S and 5.8S rRNAs. The record is from Rfam.
UUCUCGCUCAAAGGAUCGCAUUCAAAGCUCACACACAGAAUAUUCCUCACGGGAUAUUCUCCUCUCUUCGAGAGAGGUAAUGGCUUUGGGAGAAAGUCCCCGGACAUCCUGACCUUCAUAUCGGUCAGGCAUUGCGGAAACGCGCCGCCAUAGAAGCAAUUCGAUAGCGGCUGACUGCCCUAUUCCCUCCCGGUAUCCUGUUUGUAUCCGACGCCUUCACGGUGGAAACAAUGGUGGUAUAGCUGGGUGCCGGAGAGGGGUUUAUCUGGGUUGCCAUUCGUCGUGUUUGGAUAGUCAUGCGAUUGCCUGGUUCCCUUGCAGGGACUGGGUAACUCAAUGGGGCUCAUUCUUGAGGCGAGG